ACGGGGUGCGGUAGCAUGUGCCUGUAGUCCCAGCUACUCGGGAGGCUGAGGCUGGAGGAUCACUUGAGUCCAGGAGUUCUGGGCUGUAGUGCGCUGUGCCGAUUGGGUGUCCGCAGUAAGUUCGUCAUCAAUAUGGUGACCUCCCGGGAGCAGUAGACCACCAGGUUGCCUAAGGAGAGGUGAACCUGCCCAGAUCAGAAACAGAGCAGAUCAAAACUCCCGUGCUGAUCAGUAGUGGGAUCGCACCUGUGAAUAACUACUGCACUCCAGCCUAGGCAACAUAGCGAGACCCUGUCUCU
RNAcentral lists this signal recognition particle RNA (299 nucleotides) under Saimiri boliviensis boliviensis (Bolivian squirrel monkey). Its description in RNAcentral is "Metazoan signal recognition particle RNA (ENSSBOG00000007044.1)". It matches the Rfam family "Metazoan signal recognition particle RNA". Rfam says of the family: The signal recognition particle (SRP) is a universally conserved ribonucleoprotein. It is involved in the co-translational targeting of proteins to membranes. The eukaryotic SRP consists of a 300-nucleotide 7S RNA and six proteins: SRPs 72, 68, 54, 19, 14, and 9. The record is from RNAcentral. Lineage: Eukaryota; Metazoa; Chordata; Mammalia; Primates; Cebidae.